UCCCAGAUCGUAUAGUGGUCAGUAUUUCUGCUUGUCAUUCACAGGCAGUUCGCAGGAGACCUGGGUUCAAUUCCCAGUCUGGGAG
This is a non-coding RNA of Plenodomus lindquistii, 85 nucleotides long. The record is from the annotation of a GenBank genome assembly. Lineage: Eukaryota; Fungi; Ascomycota; Dothideomycetes; Pleosporales; Leptosphaeriaceae.